Molecule: unclassified non-coding RNA, 380 nt
Filed under: uncultured bacterium
Lineage: Bacteria
Description: contains 16S-23S intergenic spacer region
Source: RNAcentral
UCCGGAUUAACUCCGGCAGUCUCGCUAGAGUGCCCAACUUAAUGAUGGCAACUAACGAUAAGGGUUGCGCUCGUUGCUGGACUUAACCAAACACCUCACGGCACGAGCUGACGACAGCCAUGCAGCACCUUCUUUGAGGUCCCUUGCGGGAACAGCGACAUCUCUGCCACCUUCUUCUAGAUUUAACCCAGGUAAGGUUCUUCGCGUUGCAUCGAAUUAAACCACAUGCUCCACUGCUUGUGCGGGCCCCCGUCAAUUCUUUUGAGUUUCAACCUUGCGGCCGUACUCCUCAGGCGGUGUACUUAUCGCGUUAGCUACGACACAGGAGCGGGUUGACCCCUCCCCUACAUCUAGUACACAUCGUUUACGGCAUGGACUAC